UACAGAGGUCCCGAGCGUUGUUCGGAUUCACUGGGCGUAAAGGGUGCGUAGGUGGUGAGGAAAGUCGGAUGUGAAAUCUCCAAGCUCAACUUGGAAAUGGCAUUGGAAACUACCUUGCUGGAGGUUUGGAGGGGGGACUGGAAUACUUGGUGUAGCAGUGAAAUGCGUAGAUAUCGAGAGGAACACCAGUGGCGAAGGCGAGUCCCUGGACAGGUCCUGACGCUGAGGCACGAAAGCUAGGGGAGCAAACAGG
This 253-nucleotide ribosomal RNA is filed under the name uncultured bacterium. RNAcentral's name for it is "partial 16S ribosomal RNA". It matches the Rfam family "Bacterial small subunit ribosomal RNA", at positions 524 to 776 of the family's 1533-position model. The record is from RNAcentral.